UCCUACGGGAGGCAGCAGUGGGGGAUAUUGGACAAUGGGGGGAACCCUGAUCCAGCGACGCCGCGUGAGUGAAGAAGUCUUUCGGUAUGUAAAGCUCUGUCAGCAGGGACGAAAGAAAUGACGGUACCUGACGAAGAAGCCCCGGCUAACUACGUGCCAGCAGCCGCGGUAAUACGUAGGGGGCAAGCGUUAUCCGGAAUUACUGGGUGUAAAGGGAGCGUAGACGGUUAUGUAAGUCUGGAGUGAAAGCCCGGGGCCCAACCCCGGGCCUGCACUGGAAACUAUUGUACUUGAGUACUGGAGAG
This 305-nucleotide ribosomal RNA is filed under the name uncultured bacterium. RNAcentral describes it as "bacterial SSU rRNA". It matches the Rfam family "Bacterial small subunit ribosomal RNA", at positions 337 to 656 of the family's 1533-position model. The record is from RNAcentral.